GACGAACGCUGGCGGCGUGCUUAACACAUGCAAGUCGAACGAUGACGACCGAGCUUGCUCGGUCUGAUUAGUGGCGAACGGGUGAGUAACACGUGAGCAACCUGCCCUUCACUCUGGGAUAACCUCGGGAAAUCGGGGCUAAUACCGGAUAUGAGCUCCUGUCGCAUGGCGGGUGUUGGAAAGUUUUUCGGUGAAGGAUGGGCUCGCGGCCUAUCAGUUUGUUGGUGAGGUAGUGGCUCACCAAGGCGAUGACGGGUAGCCGGCCUGAGAGGGCGACCGGCCACACUGGGACUGAGACACGGCCCAGACUCCUACGGGAGGCAGCAGUGGGGAAUAUUGCACAAUGGGCGAAAGCCUGAUGCAGCGACGCCGCGUGAGGGAUGACGGCCUUCGGGUUGUAAACCUCUUUCAGCAGGGAAGAAGCGUAAGUGACGGUACCUGCAGAAGAAGCGCCGGCUAACUACGUG
Molecule: ribosomal RNA, 467 nt
Filed under: uncultured bacterium
Lineage: Bacteria
Description: partial 16S ribosomal RNA
Rfam family: Bacterial small subunit ribosomal RNA
Source: RNAcentral